Molecule: non-coding RNA, 30 nt
Filed under: Homo sapiens (human)
Lineage: Eukaryota; Metazoa; Chordata; Mammalia; Primates; Hominidae
Source: RNAcentral
UCUGUGCCAAAUGUCCAGAUGUGAUCAAUA